CUCGCAUCGAAUCUCGCCAAGUUUUACUAUGUAUAUCCUCACCAAGUUUCAUUCGGUCCUUAGCUAGUUAUGUUGCAGACUUUCAACUUGCAGUUUGCUUUUGCCAGUAUGUUCUUCAAUUUAGAUCAUGGAGGUAAACAUUAGCUGCACAACAGACAUAAUCUAGUUAAUUAUAAGUUUACUAAUUAUAGCAAAGUUUGAGAAAGAAUUUGACAAUCCGCAUGUAUGAUGUAUGCAUAUACUUCAAGGCACGAAGCCCUCAUAAAGGUAAAACUGGUGAUGUUCCC
Molecule: long non-coding RNA, 287 nt
Filed under: Brassica napus (rape)
Lineage: Eukaryota; Viridiplantae; Streptophyta; Magnoliopsida; Brassicales; Brassicaceae
Description: long non-coding RNA (BNAP_LNC014210)
Source: RNAcentral